UGUAAAAAAUUUGGCUCAUUUCUACUAGUAAAAACUGACAAAAUAACUAAACAGUUACAUGUGGUGUGCUACUUGCACCUUAUGCUGAUGUACAAGGACCAUUCUUAAAAGUAGAAAUUGAUUAAAUUUUUAACA
Molecule: non-coding RNA, 135 nt
Organism: Gossypium hirsutum (cotton)
Lineage: Eukaryota; Viridiplantae; Streptophyta; Magnoliopsida; Malvales; Malvaceae
Source: Rfam